This is a long non-coding RNA of Homo sapiens (human), 1186 nucleotides long. NCBI's taxonomy places the organism in Eukaryota, Metazoa, Chordata, Mammalia, Primates, Hominidae. The record is from Ensembl.
CAGUGCGCAUGCGCGAGGCCCGAGCCGCCGCUUGGGCCACAGUGAAAGCCACCGUUGCCCGGGGAUGGGUCCCUGACACUUGGCGAAGUAGCAGCCCUGUGUGAUCGUGCGUCUGAGUCUGGGCUGAGACCAGUCCUGGCCAGGGUAGUUACCAGGACGGUCUCCGGAGGCCGGGAUUCGCGGAGGGUCCACCAGCAGGAAGAAACCCCAGGAGGAAGAAACCUCAGACAGAUCGCCGGCGAGGCAGCGCGGGAUCCCAGCCUCAGGCGUGCGCGGACGGUGUGCGGGAUGGAUGCAGCAGAAAGGAAUGCUGAGGGAGGACUCCAGUUGGAAUGAGCCACUUUUCCAGGACUAGGAAUGAACUUUCCCCAAUACCAACAAGGCAGCCUCCAGGGCAAGAAAUGGUAACAGAAUCCAUCCUGUUGACAGUCAAGAUGGAAUUACAGAGAAUUCUCACCUCUUUUUUGACUCUCAGGUGGAAACCCCCUUCCCAUGGGGUGAAGCGCAGUCUGCUCCAGAGACCCACUGUUAGGGUCGGGGAUGUCACAGAAAUUAACAGGGCAGCCAAUUCCCAUCCAGAGGGGCCCAGGAUGACCCCGAACCCUCUAGCUCAGCCCCAAGCUCGGGCCAGGGAGUGAAGCCUUUGUCCCCAAGCAACAGAGUGAGGGUCUGUCUCUAACCCGGUGGGCUCCAGUGAAAGGAAAAUGGCCUGGAGGUGCCCACAGGAGGGCGCCCUAGUUCUGAGACAGGUCUACGGCUCCCAGACUGUGUCCCCAUGAGUAACAGAGGGACACGCAGAGGGGCAUACUGAGUGCCUAUAGGGGACUCACAGACUGCAGAUGCACGCUGCGGAUCCAGAAGCCGGUCAGCGCACACAACCAAGCUUAGGAGCCGACUGUUAAGAUGCCCCAGUGACACGGACAAGUUUCUCCUCUGCAACCCAAUGAGAGCUGCUGACCACGAGAGCAUCGCGGGACCGCCAAAGGAUUCUGGAAAAUGUGGUCCCGGGUGGCCAGUGUGCGCUGACCUUCACCUGAAGGUACGGCUUGAAGGAAACUUCUGGAGGGUGGGGUGGUGUUGAAGAGAAGGCACAAUUGUCACCAUUUUGUUCAACAUGGGCGUUUUCUUUGUGCAUUGAUUUGCAUUUUUAAAGGUAUUCCAUUAAAAAUAUGUUUAUCUAUUUUAA